RNAcentral lists this ribosomal RNA (141 nucleotides) under uncultured bacterium. RNAcentral's name for it is "partial 16S rRNA". It matches the Rfam family "Bacterial small subunit ribosomal RNA", at positions 355 to 511 of the family's 1533-position model. The record is from RNAcentral.
UAGGGAAUCUUCCACAAUGGACGAAAGUCUGAUGGAGCAAUGCCGCGUGGAGGUGGAAGGCCUACGGGUCGUCAACUUCUUUUCUCGGAGAAGAAACAAUGACGGUAUCUGAGGAAUAAGCAUCGGCUAACUCUGUGACAG